AUACUUACCUUGUCGCGUCUUCCCGAGCUCAAGAUUUCGGGAAUGCAAGGAGGGAGGCCUGCAUUGCACAUCGCGGUGUCGACCUCCUUCGAUUGUCCUUCGGGGCCAUCGGCGGCGGAAUUUUUGAUUUUUACCACCUAUGGUGCA
This 147-nucleotide small nuclear RNA is filed under the name Colletotrichum graminicola M1.001. RNAcentral's name for it is "U1 spliceosomal RNA". It matches the Rfam family "U1 spliceosomal RNA". Rfam says of the family: U1 is a small nuclear RNA (snRNA) component of the spliceosome (involved in pre-mRNA splicing). Its 5' end forms complementary base pairs with the 5' splice junction, thus defining the 5' donor site of an intron. There are significant differences in sequence and secondary structure between metazoan and yeast U1 snRNAs, the latter being much longer (568 nucleotides as compared to 164 nucleotides in human). Lineage: Eukaryota; Fungi; Ascomycota; Sordariomycetes; Glomerellales; Glomerellaceae. The record is from RNAcentral.